RNAcentral lists this ribosomal RNA (332 nucleotides) under Shaanxinus tsou. RNAcentral's name for it is "partial large subunit ribosomal RNA". Lineage: Eukaryota; Metazoa; Arthropoda; Arachnida; Araneae; Linyphiidae. The record is from RNAcentral.
AAUUUUACUGUGUUAAGGUAGCAUAAUCACUUCCCUUUUAAUUAAAGGUUUGUAUGAAGGAUUGAACAAUUAAAUCUCUUUUUUAUAAAUUUUUAUUAAACCUAAACUAAACAUAAAAAUGUUUUUAUAAAAAAAAUAGACGAUAAGACCCUAUUGAACUUUACUACAGUUUAGCUGGGGAAGCUAUUUAAAUAUAAUUUUAAUCACCCCCCCUAAAUAAAACCCUAAUAAAAUUAAUUUAAAUAAGUUACCAUAGGGAUAACAGCGUAAUAUAAUUUUAAAGAUCUUAUUAAAAAUUAAGCUUACGACCUCGAUGUUGAAUUAGAAUAUCU